GACGAACGCUGGCGGCGUGCUUAACACAUGCAAGUCGAACGGUAAGGCCCCAGCUUGCUGGGGUACACGAGUGGCGAACGGGUGAGUAACACGUGGGUGACCUGCCCCGCACUUCGGGAUAAGCCUGGGAAACUGGGUCUAAUACCGGAUGGGACCGCACCGGGGGGGGUGGUGGGAAAUUUUUUCGGGUGGGGAUGGGCCCGCGGCCUAUAGGCUUGUUGUGGGGGUAAUGGCCUACCAAGGCGGCGACGGGUAGCCGGCCUGAGAGGGUGGACGGCCACAUUGGGACUGAGACACGGCCCAGACUCCUACGGGAGGCAGCAGUGGGGAAUAUUGCACAAUGGGCGGAAGCCUGAUGCAGCGACGCCGCGUGGGGGAUGACGGCCUUCGGGUUGUAAACUCCUUUCACCAUCGACGAAGGUUUUCUGACGGUAGAUGGAGAAGAAGCACCGGCUAACUACGUG
This 464-nucleotide ribosomal RNA is filed under the name uncultured bacterium. RNAcentral describes it as "partial 16S ribosomal RNA". It matches the Rfam family "Bacterial small subunit ribosomal RNA", at positions 28 to 507 of the family's 1533-position model. The record is from RNAcentral.